This 1743-nucleotide ribosomal RNA is filed under the name Sphyraena barracuda (great barracuda). RNAcentral describes it as "16S ribosomal RNA". It matches the Rfam family "Bacterial large subunit ribosomal RNA". Lineage: Eukaryota; Metazoa; Chordata; Actinopteri; Sphyraenidae. The record is from RNAcentral.
CGCCCAUUAGCUAGCCCCACCUAUAAACCACCAACAAUCAACCAUUAAUUAGCCCCUAAUCCACUAUAAAAUACCCUAAGCUAAACCAUUUCUCCCCUUAAGUACGAGCGACGGAAAAAGGACCCGCGGAGCGAUAGAGAAAGUACCGCAAGGGAACGCUGAAAGAAAGAUGAAACAGAUUAGUAAAGCACAAAAAAGCAGAGAUUUAACCUCGUACCUUUUGCAUCAUGAUUUAGCCAGUAUCCCCAAGCAAAAAGUUUUUUAGUUUGAUACCCCGAAACUAAGGGAGCUACUCCAAGACAGCCUACCAAUAGGGCGAACCCGUCUCUGUGGCAAAAGAGUGGGAAGAUCUUCGAGUAGAGGUGACAGACCUACCGAACUUAGAUAUAGCUGGUUGCCUGAGAAAUGAAUAGGAGUUCAGCCUCCCGGCUUCUCUCUUCACACUUGCACCAAUGCUUUAAUAGAUAACUAGAGAAACCGUUAGAGUUAGUCAAAGGGGGUCCAGCCCCUUUGAAACAAGACACAACUUUUAUAGGAGGGUAAAGACCAUACUAUAUCAAAGAAUUAAUGUUUUCGUGGGCCUAAAAGCAGCCACCCUAAUAGAAAGCGUUAAAGCUCAAACAUACAAUUAAAUUCUAUAAUACCGAUAACCCAAUCUUAACCCCCUAACCCCUAUCAGGCCGUCCUAUGCCAACAUAGGAGCGACUAUGCUAAUAUGAGUAAUAAGAGACCCCCGACUCUCUCCCUGCAUGCGUGUAAAUCGGAACGGACCCCCCACCGAACAUUAACGGCCCCAAGCAAAGAGGGCAUUGAAGAAUUAAUCAAACAGACCGGAAAACCCUCCACCAUCACACCGUUAACCCUACACUGGUAUGCUCCCAAGGAAAGACUAAAAGAAAAAGAAGGAAUUCAGCAAACCCAUUACUAGCCUCGCCUGUUUACCAAAAACAUCGCCUCUUGAAAACCCAGUAUAAGAGGUCUCGCCUGCCCAGUGACUAUAUGUUCAACGGCCGCGGUAUUUUGACCGUGCAAAGGUAGCGUAAUCACUUGUCUUUUAAAUGAAGACCCGUAUGAAUGGCGGAACGAGGGCUAAACUGUCUCCUUUUUCAGGUCAAUGAAAUUGAUCUCUCCGUGCAGAAGCGGAGAUAACACCAUAAGACGAGAAGACCCUGUGGAGCUUUAGGUAACAAAACAGAUCGUGCCCAGCAUACCUAAAUAAAGGACUGAGCCUAAUGAAAACUGUUUUUAUGCCUUCGGUUGGGGCGACCAUGGAGUAAUAAAAAUCCUCCAAGUGAGAGGGAGCACUUCACCCUUUUCUACCUCUACAUCCACCCUUAUCUAACCCUCCUAAAACCAAGAGCUACGACUCUAACUAGCAGAAAUUCUGACCUAAAUUGAUCCGGCUAUGCCGAUUAACGGACCAAGUUACCCCAGGGAUAACAGCGCAAUCCUCUUCUAGAGCCCAUAUCGACAAGAGGGUUUACGACCUCGAUGUUGGAUCAGGACAUCCUAAUGGUGCAACCGCUAUUAAGGGUUCGUUUGUUCAACGAUUAAAGUCCUACGUGAUCUGAGUUCAGACCGGAGUAAUCCAGGUCGGUUUCUAUCUAUGUAAUUAACCUUUUCUAGUACGAAAGGACCGAAAAGGAGGGGCCCAUGCUAAAGGCACGCCCCACCCUUACCCAAUGAAAGCAUCUAAAUUGGACAAAAGGGCAUAAUUCUUUUCCAUGCCAAGACAACGGCACA